GAUGAACGCUGGCGGCGUGCCUAAUACAUGCAAGUCGAGCGAACAGAUGAGGAGCUUGCUCCUCUGACGUUAGCGGCGGACGGGUGAGUAACACGUGGAUAACCUACCUAUAUGACUGGGAUAACUUCGGGAAACCGGAGCUAAUACCGGAUAAUAUAUUGAACCGCAUGGUUCAAUAGUGAAAGACGGUUUUGCUGUCACUUAUAGAUGGAUCCGCGCCGCAUUAGCUAGUUGGUAAGGUAACGGCUUACCAAGGCGACGAUGCGUAGCCGACCUGAGAGGGUGAUCGGCCACACUGGAACUGAGACACGGUCCAGACUCCUACGGGAGGCAGCAGUAGGGAAUCUUCCGCAAUGGGCGAAAGCCUGACGGAGCAACGCCGCGUGAGUGAUGAAGGUCUUCGGAUCGUAAAACUCUGUUAUUAGGGAAGAACAAAUGUGUAAGUAACUAUGCACGUCUUGACGGUACCUAAUCAGAAAGCCACGGCUAACUACGUG
This 497-nucleotide ribosomal RNA is filed under the name uncultured bacterium. RNAcentral describes it as "partial 16S ribosomal RNA". It matches the Rfam family "Bacterial small subunit ribosomal RNA", at positions 28 to 507 of the family's 1533-position model. The record is from RNAcentral.